AGCUCCAAUAGCGUAUAUUAAAGUUGUUGCGGUUAAAAAGCUCGUAGUUGGAUUUCUGUUAGGGCAGACCGGUCCGCACUAUGUGCGUGUAUCUGGUUCGGCCUUGGCAUCCUCCUGGGGAACGGUGCUGCGCUUGAUUGCGUGGUCCGGUAUUCAGGACUUUUACUUUGAGGAAAUUAGAGUGUUUACGGCAGGCAAUCGCCUUGAAUACAUUAGCAUGGAAUAAUACUAUAGGACCUUGGUUCUAUUUUGUUGGUUUCUAGAACUAAGGUAAUGAUUAAUAGGGAUAAUUGGGGGCAUUCGUAUUAACACGUCAGAGGUGAAAUUCUUGGAUUGUGUUACGACGAACUACUGCGAAAGCAUUUGCCAAGGAUGUUUUCA
Molecule: ribosomal RNA, 381 nt
Filed under: uncultured eukaryote
Lineage: Eukaryota
Description: SSU rRNA
Rfam family: Eukaryotic small subunit ribosomal RNA
Source: RNAcentral